UACAGAGGUCUCAAGCGUUGUUCGGAUUCAUUGGGCGUAAAGGGCGUGUAGGUGGCGCCGUAAGUCGGGUGUGAAAUUUCGGAGCUUAACUCCGUAACUGCAUUCGAUACUGCCGUGCUUGAGGACUGGAGAGGAGACUGGAAUUUACGGUGUAGCAGUGAAAUGCGUAGAUAUCGUAAGGAAGACCAGUGGCGAAGGCGGGUCUCUGGACAGUUCCUGACGCUGAGACACGAAGGCCAGGGGAGCAAACGGG
This 253-nucleotide ribosomal RNA is filed under the name uncultured bacterium. Its description in RNAcentral is "partial 16S ribosomal RNA". It matches the Rfam family "Bacterial small subunit ribosomal RNA", at positions 524 to 776 of the family's 1533-position model. The record is from RNAcentral.